GACUCCGUAGCUCAGUUGGUAGAGCAACAGACUCUUAAUCUGUGGGCCCAGGGUUCGACCCCCUGCGGGGUCA
RNAcentral lists this transfer RNA (73 nucleotides) under Chitinophaga horti. Its description in RNAcentral is "Chitinophaga sp. R8 tRNA-Lys". It matches the Rfam family "tRNA". From Rfam's summary of the family: Transfer RNA (tRNA) molecules are approximately 80 nucleotides in length. The record is from RNAcentral. Lineage: Bacteria; Pseudomonadati; Bacteroidota; Chitinophagia; Chitinophagales; Chitinophagaceae.